Non-coding RNA from Arachis ipaensis, 128 nucleotides. The record is from RefSeq and is a predicted model, not a curated record. NCBI's taxonomy places the organism in Eukaryota, Viridiplantae, Streptophyta, Magnoliopsida, Fabales, Fabaceae.
AAGAUUAAGCUAAUUAUUAUUGUAGUUUAUUGGCUAAGAUAAAGUAGUGUUAGGAAUGGAUAUAUGUAUGGUUGACUAAUGACUUUUAUUAGAAGAUACUUAUGUAGGAUAUAAUAUUGUAGUUUUUC